GGGAAGUUGGCUCAGUGGUAGAGUGCUUGCCUUGCAUGCAUGAGGCCUUGGGUUCGAUUCCUCAGCACCACA
Non-coding RNA from Dipodomys ordii (Ord's kangaroo rat), 72 nucleotides. NCBI's taxonomy places the organism in Eukaryota, Metazoa, Chordata, Mammalia, Rodentia, Heteromyidae. The record is from Rfam.